UUCCAAACAGUGUACUAGAAUGAAAAAAGUGUCCUAAGCAAAUCCCAAUAUUGAAGUAUUUCUUCCGCUUUGAAUUUCAUAAAUUAGAUGCUUCAAUUCAGAUGUUAUUUACUAGUAGGAUUACACAAAUUGAAAUCUUUCAGACUCAAGGUUCUCCAGAUUUUCAAAAAUCCAAAACGAUUUUCAGACAUAACACCAAACAGGGGAAAACACAAAAUAAAUAUAAAAACCAAAACAUAAAAAUCUUGAAAGAAUAUGUACCUUUUCAGAUUUCUCCUUAUCAGCUUUCUCUUGCUCCAAAAGUUUCAUCUUCUCCAUCCUCUCCCUCUCCAUUUUCUUCACCCCCAAAAAACCAUAAAGUAAUAAAUAUUAUUCACCUCAACCAGACCACAAAAUUGUCAAAAAUAAUUCACCCAAAAAAGUACAGUAAAGAAAUGGGUUUUACUUAGAUGUAAACGGUUUCCUUAGCACGGCCUUCUUCACUGAGGAUACGACUCGACAUCGAUGAUCGCCAGUUGGCUUCCAUUAGAAUUCGGAUGAUGAACUCCACUGCACGAAACCGCUCGUCCUUUCCCAAUAUCUUUAUAAAAGUCAUUUUCCCACCUUUGGUCCCUAUCCUAUUUACUUCUUCCGGAUUCAUAGCUUAUCAUUUGAAUUUU
Molecule: long non-coding RNA, 659 nt
Filed under: Olea europaea (common olive)
Lineage: Eukaryota; Viridiplantae; Streptophyta; Magnoliopsida; Lamiales; Oleaceae
Description: long non-coding RNA (OEUR_LNC010048)
Source: RNAcentral